This 72-nucleotide transfer RNA is filed under the name Streptomyces phage JXY1. It matches the Rfam family "tRNA". From Rfam's summary of the family: Transfer RNA (tRNA) molecules are approximately 80 nucleotides in length. Their secondary structure includes four short double-helical elements and three loops (D, anti-codon, and T loops). The record is from Rfam by way of RNAcentral. Lineage: Duplodnaviria; Heunggongvirae; Uroviricota; Caudoviricetes.
GCUUCCUUCGUCUAAAGGACAGGACGCCAGGCUACGAACUUGGUAAUGAGGGUUCGACUCCUUCAGGAAGCA